UACGGAGGAGGCAAGCGUUAUCCGGAAUUAUUGGGCGUAAAGCGUCCGCAGGUGGCACCUCAAGUCUGCUGUCAAAGACCGGGGCUUAACCCCAGAAAGGCAGUGGAAACUGAAGUGCUAGAGUGCAGUAGGGGUAGAGGGAAUUCCCGGUGUAGCGGUGAAAUGCGUAGAGAUCGGGAAGAACAUCGGUGGCGAAAGCGCUCUACUGGGCCAUAACUGACACUGAUGGACGAAAGCUAGGGGAGCGAAAGGG
Molecule: ribosomal RNA, 253 nt
Filed under: uncultured bacterium
Lineage: Bacteria
Description: partial 16S ribosomal RNA
Rfam family: Bacterial small subunit ribosomal RNA
Source: RNAcentral